This 421-nucleotide ribosomal RNA is filed under the name uncultured archaeon. RNAcentral's name for it is "bacterial SSU rRNA". It matches the Rfam family "Archaeal small subunit ribosomal RNA", at positions 459 to 879 of the family's 1478-position model. The record is from RNAcentral.
CAGCCGCCGCGGUAAUACGUGCAGCACGAGUGGUGUCCACGAAUAUUGAGCCUAAAACGCAUGUAGCCGGCUUGGCAAAUCUUCCGUCAAAUCUCAGAGCUUAACUUUGAGGCGUGCGGGGGAAACUACCAGGCUAGGGAAUGGGGGAAUCAGAGAGUACGUUAGGGGGAGGGGUAAAAUCCUGUAAUCCUUAACGGACUAACGGUGGCGAAGGCGCUCUGAUAAAACAUGUCCGACGGUGAGAUGCGAAGGCUAGGGGAGCAAAUGGGAUUAGAUACCCCAGUAGUCCUAGCAGUAAAUUAUGCGCUCUUGGCGUUGCACUUUCCUUGUGAAAGUGUAGUGCCGAAGGGAAGCCGUUAAGAGCGCUGCUUGGGGAGUACGACCGCAAGGUUGAAACUUAAAGGAAUUGGCGGGGGAGCAC